UUUUUUUUACUGUACAGCAUGGUGACCCAGUUACACACACAUGCAUACAUCCUUUUCUUCUCCCAUUAAAAUGCUCCAUCAUAAGUAACUAGACAUAGUUCUCAGUGCUACACAGCAGGAUCUCACUGCUAAUCCAUUCCAAAAGCAACAGUUUGCAUCAAUUAACCCCAAGCAUUCUUUUUACUUCAGAUACUGCUUUCUGCUACUCAGAUUGCUCAUGGUCAUUCUCUGUACCACUGUCUAGUUUCAACACUAAUUUAAAAUUACUGAAUUUUGGAGCUCCCAUUGUGGCUCAGCAGAAACAAACCCAACUAGUAUCCAUGAGGAUACAGGUUCGAUCCCUGGCCUUGCUCAGUGGGUUGAGGGUCUGGCGUUGCUGUGAGUUGUGGUGUAGUUCUCAGACAAGGCUGGGACCUGGUGUUGCUGUGGCUCUGGCAUAGGCUGGCAGCUACACCGCAGCCACAGCCAUAGCCACGCCAUAUCAGAGCCAUGUCUGUGAUCUACACUGCAGCUCAUUGCAAUGCCCGAUCCUUAAUCCACUGAACGAGGCCAAGGAUCAAACCUGUGUCCUUGAGGUUACCAGUCAGAUUUGUUUCCGCUGAGCCACGAGGGAAACUACUUUUUUUUCUUUUUUUAGCUGCCCCUGUGGCAUAUGGAGCUCCUGGGCCAGAGAUCAGAUCCAAGCCACAGUUGUGACCUAUACCAGAUCCUUCCUUAAACCACUGUGCCCAGCUGGGGAUCAAACCCAUAUCCUAGCAUUACAGAGACACCGCCCAUCCGGUGUGCCACAGAGGAACUCCUAUAACAUGAUUCUAAUGUGAUUUUCUCACCUCCUCCUGAACCCAAAUUCUUUAUCAAAAACCCCAGUUAACUGUGUUUUAAACUGAAACUUUAUGUCGCUUACUCAGUUUCUAUGCAAACUCUAAGUUAAUUUUUACCACUUUCAAAAUUAUUUCACAUUUCCUUCAUUUGGAUUCUGUCUUGAAGUGACUUACAUCAUCAUAAAUUCCUAAAUGCUACCUACAAAGUAUCUGAGUAGCCACUUAUAAAGAUGGGCUACACUAAAUACAUGACAUAGUCUUGAGUGAAUGGACUAUGUUUAGGAGGGGAUAAAAAUAAAUGAAAAGACUAUAAACCUUAUUUUAACUUUUAUAAAACCUAACUGUAAAUUAGAGACAGGCUACAUGAAAACCAUAGAACUGCAUGGCUUAUGGUUUGAGAGUAGUUUUGGAGUGUGGGUUUUUUUUAUCCUUUUGGUUUGUUUGUUUGUUUGUUUUUGCUUGCUUGCUUGCUCUUAGAUUUAUUCCUGGAAUUAAUUAAUAAUGAGUUUAUACUAUAUUCUAAUUCUUCAAUGGAUAAAGUUGUUGAUGGCAAGUAAAUAUAAUACUCAUAUGAACAUAAAUAUUCUAAUAAAGAUGGCAUUUGAAAAAUAAAUUCAUUUACUUGAAUUAUCUUAUGUAAACUUAAGUCAUUUUCAUUAAAUUAUAAACACAUUACUUUUAAUCCAAAAAUAACUGACAGUUGCUUUUUUAUUUUUUCAAGUUUCAGUAUUUGGGUACAGUGGUAUCAUGUGCAAAUCUGGGAGCAAGAAUACAAACAAAGGACCCAGCCCUUAGACUUACCCCAUUCUCUUCCCAAACCAGGCUCCAUCAGGAAAAUCAGAGACCUAGUGCCUGCAUGGAGACAACAAACUGAGCCCCAAUGGCUCCUCCCUGCUCCUGCCACCAUCCCACAACAGAUUCAGAAAUUGACCUGUGCAAGGCCAGGAAGUGGGAUGGGUAUAUUUGGGGUAGAGAAUUUCUGUUCCCUGGUACCAAAUGGAAUGGGGUUGGAGGGCAUGUUAGGGAGAGGACGUGGGCUGUAGUUGGGCAUGUCCCUUUGGGAAAGGUGUGGUAGGACAAGGGUCAGAAAGGGGUCUGGAAAGAUGCAGCCUAAGGUAGGGCCCUGGUUGUCAAGGUCUAAGUAAGUGGUAGACAGACACCAAUUGCAUUUAAUGAGAAUUUUUCAUGGAAAGGGUGUAAAAUAUUAACAAAAACUAAAAAUACUAGAAAACUUGUGAAGUUUUUUACCAUUUUUUAGGAAAUUUUCUGAAAUGCAGGAGAUGCCAAAACCCUUAUUUUAACAUACUGUUGUUUUGAAAAACUUCACUUUCCUACAAUAAUUACUGCAAAGCUAAUAAACUCCAAAGUAAAACUCCAACACUUAAAACAUGAACUAAAGUAUACUUUAUAUUUUCUUGUACUGUCUUUUUGUUUCUAUGUACACAGUAUCUCACCAAUGUCUACCAGGAAACAUGUCAAGUAAAUAUAAAAUUCAAGUAAAGAAUAAUCAAUAAAACUGACAGUAAGUCCUUGAUUCUAAAUGAAGGAUCAACAUUCUUUGGAACAUCUACUGGGUAUCCAUUGUUGCAUUAGGACAUUAACGAUUUAUAAAUUAUUAUUUUGCUGCUUAUUGUUAUAGAAAAAUACUUCAACAAAACAUAAAACCUCUUAUCACAUUUUUGAAAAAUUAUUGUUUUUAAUAAAUCACAUAAUGAGGAAGAGAAAAAAGUUCAGAUGAAGCAUGCUAUAUUGGCAUAAUUGAUAAUUAUCAACUCUUGAUAACUGAUAAUUCAUCCAAAUUAUCAAAUUUAUAAUAAGCUAGAAUAUCAAUAUUAGGAACAGAACAAGUGGGGAAAUUUCUAGGAUCUUAAUUCUUUAUGAGGCUAAAACUCUCCCAGGAAACUGGGAAAAGUCUCUACAACUGCCAAGAAAUCCCACUUGGCUCCUGUAGGAACAUAUAAAAUACGUGCUGCCUCUUUCCUUGAAUACAGUGAAAGAGAGCAGACCCUAGUUUUUAGAAGUAUCCAAGAUCCUCUUUUUUUUUCAAAGGCCACUCGAGUUGUGAAGGAGACAUAUCAGAGGUUUCACUUAGUGUGACAAUGUCACAUUUCCCUGUAUAUCGCAUCUAAUGCUUCCAGGGGUCAGACCUGGUGGCCAGCAUUUGACAGCAUGGCCUUUGUAACAGCUGACCUCAAAGGCUGCAACUCUUUGUUCAGCUUCCAUAAGGUCUCUAAGUGGCAGCUUUCAGCAGUGGCUGCCAUGGUUUACUUCUCUCAGCAGUUGUUACUAAGUUGGCUCUUCCCCACUGCUGUUGCUUUAAUACUGGCUGCUAGUAGAAAGCAGUCUACUAAAAACACUUCUGCGGCUUUCCAUCUACCUUUUGCAUUUCAGGUCCUGCUCACCUCCUUAAAUACCAGCCUAAAAACAUCUUCUAGGUGUUGUUCUUUAAAUUAAAUAAUGAGUCCCCUGGUUAACCCUCAGAACCAUCUUUAGACAGCAUUUCACAAUAGAACCCCUGGUGAGAGCGACAAAUAGGAUGCUUCUCAGCUUUCUCAAAUAAUUGCAUUUUAAAGUAAUUUACUUAAAAAUUUUAUUAAGUCACAAUUGGGCAGCAAGUGUCAAAGUACUAUUUUGGAGAGUCUGUUGACUCUCCCUUCCCUUCCUACCUAACCUCAUCCCCAGCUGGUGAAUUUACUUUCUUUCCUGGCAGCAAAAUGCAAAGAAAGUAAAUGAAAGCAUACAAACCGCUGCAAUAGGUAGCAACUCCAGCCAAUCCUAGAAGCCACCACACCAAUAUUGUAAGCUGUUUUCUUUUCCAGGCCUGGAGUUCCUUUGAUGUGUUAUUGGUCACCUGAUAGAAAUAAUGAGGUCCUAUGAAAACAGUUUUCUUUCAAUGACCAUCAUCUCAGCAGCAGAAGCUACUGUAAGUCUUCAGUACUAGAGAAGAUUCCAAUCUCACAGGCUCAUUACAGUCUCUACAGAAGACCUAGUUCCUCCUUUUGUGAUCUUUUUUGUUUCCUACAACACAAACUUCUAAAAUUCCUCCUUAGGGUGGGCUUAACAGGAGCAUGGUUUCUUUUCCCUUAAUUAUUGCUUUUGGCUUUGACUCUUUGUAUUAGAAUACCUUUAACAUGAGGAGGUCUCUGUAAUCCUGAUAACCAGGGGUGCUGCUAUGUAAGCUGGCCUUGAUUAGAUCCUCUUUUCAACCUAGUUCCAAACAUAAGACUCUGUCUUUGGCUUACCUCAGUUUGGUAAUAAUGAAAAUGUAUAUACAUUUUACAACAGGAUUGUUCUUAUUCUCAUUGCUUUUCCCUUUCUUUAAUAAACUACAUUUGGGUGACAAAUGCUUCCAAAUAAAGUAAUAAUUCAUGGUGCUUCAUUGCUAUAUUUUGCUGGGCCUAAAAUUCCAAAUUCUGUUGAGAUACCUCUGUCUAAAGCCAAACUCCCAGGAUCUCUCAUUGUUUUUUCUCCCUCAGGAAGUUAAAGGAAGAUCUUCUCUGCCUUUCAAAGAGGUCCUGAACUCACAUUCAAAGUACUUAGCAAAAGGAUCUAAUAUUUCUUUUUCAUUCUUUAGAGAGCAACAAAGAUAUUUAUUCAUAUGUACCUCUCAACAAUCUUUAUCUAAUCUUCAGAUCACAAACACUGUUGAAGUGAUUUUGAACUACUGAUCAGGUUAUUAAACAAGACCACCUACUUCUUUUCCAAUAUAGGUGAGGACAAAUACUUAAGUAAAAGGUAUAAAAGUUAUCAGAAAGCAUAUGAAGUUUCAGCUAUGUACCAAAAAUUGACACACAAGUUGACCACUGAUUUUAUAAAAACCCAGAAAAAUAUCUUCCCUACUUAUAGUAACAAAUCUCUAUCCCAGCCAGGUUUAAAAAAUACCUUUUAACCCUAUUCCAAAGAUAAAAUGUCAUUAACACGUACAUUUUUUCCAACAAUUCUUAGUCUGUAAUUUUGUUCAGUGAGCUACUUCUGAAUUACUUGAGCUAAGAAGGGCAAAUAUUUUAAAUUAUUUAGUCUUUUCUGAUUUUCUAAUGUAACUUACCUACUCAUUUAUAGCGAUCAUCUUUUUAAGCAUAGUAUAAGUUUGCUUCU
This 4916-nucleotide long non-coding RNA is filed under the name Sus scrofa (pig). RNAcentral's name for it is "lncRNA (ENSSSCG00025052705.1)". Lineage: Eukaryota; Metazoa; Chordata; Mammalia; Artiodactyla; Suidae. The record is from RNAcentral.